ACACCAUUCACACUCCAUUCACACGCUGCAUAACCAUUCGCCCUCAUCCCCCUUAAACUCUUCGCCGCUGCAGCCACCGCAGUCUCUGCCACCGCCGCUGCAGCCACGCAGCCCCCGCAUCAGCCAUUGCAGCUCUCCGCAACCCCACAGCCUCGCAACCCCACAGCCUUCUCCUCUGUUCGAGCGCUCUCCUUCUCUCUGUGUCGCCGUUGUGUUUCUGCCACUGCCCUUCCUCCUCGCUUUCAUUCACGAGUCAUGACCGUUCCUUCACUCCUCCAUUGGAAGUAGAUCUGAAGAGCCACGAACCGAGGUGUCGCAUGUUCCUCCAUCAGAGUUCCUUGCUGUCGUCGACAAUCACAUUGUGCCCCUCCUUCCACACCUCCUCCAUACGCCAUUUUUCCUUUAUUUCUGAGGAAGACCGGGAAAACGUGUUGCGUGCAAGAGAGUCAGGCAAAGGAGUCUUAACUGCUCCCAUCAGGCUGCUCAAAACAAAUCGUCUAGGCAUUAUCCUCACAUGUGAAGUUUUCCAUGUUGGCAAUUGCUACUUAAAAUGAUUGAAGGUUGGGUAUGAAUUGAUGCAGGUGGAUCAGCCAUUGCUGAAUUGAAGAGAGCUUUGAACGAAUACUUAUCUCUUCUGAUUGGUCUUACCAAGAAAGAGCAUGGCCUUAAGGGACUAAUUGAAUUCAAGUGGAAAAAUCUUGAAGAUUUUCGGCAAGUUGCAGAUGACACUCAUGGCAGGGCCAUAAUAGAUGAAUUACAGGCUGAUGGUGUUGAUACAUCUUUUAUAGUGAUAAACUAACUGUUUGCAAUCUCCAUGAAGCUUUUUGUUUCUGUGAUCUUCAGUUUCUAGUCUUGCAGUUAUCUGAUUUGUUUCUAGUCGUUGGUCGGUAAAUUACUCUUUAUUAUGCAUGUGUAAUUUAUCUUAUUGUGUUAUCUACUUCUCUUUUAUCUGCAGGUAUCCGAGGAAGGGACUUCACCAUUUACUUAUAUCAUUGUGGACAGUCAAAAGUAAUGAUCAUUCUAACUAUUGUCAAACUUUAUUGAAAAUUUGACCUAUAUAGUACUCUCAAUUCAUUACUUACUCUCUUGAUUGUUUUGACUCAUUGUACUAAUCCUAUCUACAUAUGGCUACACCAUCUUUCUUUAUUGAGUAAUUUGGUUAUCUGAAUUUCAGAAGGAAAAUAAGGGCAUUGAUUAGUUUACAGCUGAGGACAGUACUUAUGCUAAAUUUUGAUUAUUUAAGUUUUACAGCUAAGAUAUUUUUUCAUAUACAAACUUUUCAAUCAAAUGUCUCAGUUGGCAAUGAUUAGAGAAAGCAAUCUAAUAUAGUGAGGCUGGAAGCUCUCGGAAUAUCAUCAUUGUUGGGUUAUCAUUGUUUUUCUCUCUUUCCAUACCUGCCUACUUUCAACAAUAUGGUCUCUCUCCAUCCAACAUGUCAGUGCCGAAUUAUUUCCAGCCUUAUGUUGUGGCUUCUCAUGGACCUAUACAGAGCAAGAAUGGAGGGGUCUGGAGAAUGGGGAGGUCAUUUGACAUUGCAGGCAGCUGCUGAUAAGGUUUGCUAUGCAGAGAUAUUUGCUCUCAUUCCCUAAGAAUUGGAUCUCACUCAAUCUGACAAAUAACUUGUAUGCAUGUUUGUUUUUAUGCAUUCUGUGCAUGACCAUGAUUGAAGAGCAAAUCUCUUAAAUGGAAUUGCAUAUGCUCAAUCCAAUGUAAACAAAUCAAAGAAGAAGAACUAGAUGAACAAAUACUUUCAAGUUUCAGCCACACAAGAGUCUACCAUGAAGUGAAGAAUCAUGUAACUCAGAUUAGAUUGGAGAGUUUAAACUUUAAAGAGAGCAUGAGGAAAUAGUUUUAAAAUUUAGGCUGAAAGUCCUGCCCUUCUCUGUUGUAGUUUAAAAGAAAUUUUGGGGUAUUUUUUUAUAGAGACAGUGAGAUAUUGAAUAAUGGUGUUGAAAAAUAACAUCCAAUUUUAUAGGUAUCAUGUAAUGAAUAUUAUGUUUAUCUAUGUGAUU
RNA transcript from Arachis stenosperma, 2012 nucleotides. RefSeq lists it as uncharacterized. Lineage: Eukaryota; Viridiplantae; Streptophyta; Magnoliopsida; Fabales; Fabaceae. The record is from RefSeq and is a predicted model, not a curated record. The transcript is spliced from 8 exons.